AAGGCUUGACAUACACCGGAAACGGCCAGAGAUGGUCGCCCCCUUGUGGUCGGUGUACAGGUGGUGCAUGGUUGUCGUCAGCUCGUGUCGUGAGAUGUUGGGUUAAGUCCCGCAACGAGCGCAACCCUCGUUCUAUGUUGCCAGCGGGUUAUGCCGGGGACUCAUAGGAGACUGCCGGGGUCAACUCGGAGGAAGGUGGGGAUGACGUCAAAUCAUCAUGCCCCUUAUGUCUUGGGCUUCACGCAUGCUACAAUGGCCGGUACAAAGGGCUGCGAUACCGUAAGGUGGAGCGAAUCCCAAAAAGCCGGUCUCAGUUCGGAUUGAGGUCUGCAACUCGACCUCAUGAAGUCGGAGUCGCUAGUAAUCGCAGAUCAGCAACGCUGCGGUGAAUACGUUCCCGGGCC
RNAcentral lists this ribosomal RNA (404 nucleotides) under uncultured bacterium. RNAcentral describes it as "bacterial SSU rRNA". It matches the Rfam family "Bacterial small subunit ribosomal RNA", at positions 976 to 1380 of the family's 1533-position model. The record is from RNAcentral.